Molecule: ribosomal RNA, 494 nt
Filed under: uncultured bacterium
Lineage: Bacteria
Description: bacterial SSU rRNA
Rfam family: Bacterial small subunit ribosomal RNA
Source: RNAcentral
AAUCAACGCUGGCGGCGUGCCUAACACAUGCAAGUCGAACGCGAAAGGGGGCUUCGGCUCCUGAGUAGAGUGGCGUCCGGGUGAGUAACACGUAGGUAAUCUGCCUUCGGGUGGGGAAUAACCAGUCGAAAGAUUGGCUAAUACCGCAUAAUGCAGCGGCACCUAAUGGUGAUUAGUUGUUAAAGCGGGGGAUCGCAAGACCUCGCGCCUGAAGAGGAGCCUGCGGCAGAUUAGCUAGUUGGUGAGGUAAUGGCUCACCAAGGCUUCGAUCUGUAGCUGGUCUGAGAGGACGGCCAGCCACACUGGCACUGACACACGGGCCAGACUCCUACGGGAGGCAGCAGUGGGAAUUUUGGGCAAUGGGCGAAAGCCUGACCCAGCAACGCCGCGUGAGGGAGGAAUCCUUCGGGAUGUAAACCUCACAAGCAAGGGAAGAGAGCUCAGGGGUGAAUACCCCUGAGUCCGACGGUACCUUGCGUAAGCCACGGCUAACU